CCGCGUGAAGGAUGAAUGCCCUAUGGGUUGUAAACUACUUUUGUACGAGACGAAACUCCUGGUCGUGACCGGGAUUGACUGUAUCGUGCGAAUAAGCAUCGGCUAACUCCGUGCCAGCAGCCGCGGUAAUACGGAGGAUGCAAGCGUUAUCCGGAUUUAUUGGGUUUAAAGGGUGCGUAGGCGGAAUAAUAAGUCAGUGGUGAAAGCCUGUGGCUUAACCAUAGAAUUGCCAUUGAUACUGUUAUUCUUGAGUAUAGUUGAAGUGGGCGGAAUGUGUAAUGUAGCGGUGAAAUGCUUAGAUAUUACACAGAACACCAAUUGCGAAGGCAGCUCACUAAGCUGUUACUGACGCUGAGGCACGAAAGCGUGGGGAGCAAACAGGAUUAGAUACCCUGGUAGUCCACGCCGUAAACGAUGAUCACUCGUUGUUGGCGAUACACCGUCAGCGACUGAGUGAAAGCAAUAAGUGAUCCACCUGGGGAGUACGGCGGCAACGCUGAAACUCAAAGGAAUUGACGG
RNAcentral lists this ribosomal RNA (519 nucleotides) under uncultured bacterium. RNAcentral describes it as "bacterial SSU rRNA". It matches the Rfam family "Bacterial small subunit ribosomal RNA", at positions 397 to 916 of the family's 1533-position model. The record is from RNAcentral.